Long non-coding RNA from Arvicola amphibius (Eurasian water vole), 1151 nucleotides. RefSeq lists it as uncharacterized. The transcript has 4 exons. NCBI's taxonomy places the organism in Eukaryota, Metazoa, Chordata, Mammalia, Rodentia, Cricetidae. The record is from RefSeq and is a predicted model, not a curated record.
UAGGCCUUUAAAAUCAUAAGCCAAAUGAACUCUUUCUUCCUUAAGUGGCCUGGUGAUGGCAUUUUGUCACAGCGACCUAAAGAAACGGAUGGGAUCAGUGACCCAGAGAGACCGCCCCCCCUCUCUCCACAAUGAAAAUGCAGCUCUCUACAAACCAGGAAGCGUGUCUUCACCAGAUGUUGAAGCUGCUACAGCCUUGUCAUAAGCUUCCUAGCUUCUAGAACUGUCUGUUAGGAAGACCAUGGGCUGUGGAGAAACACAUUUUUAUCAUUUUCACUGAAGAAACUGAAUAUGGAAGCUUCCCCCAAUGCCUUCCCCCAAGGCCUCUGAUGUCACUAGGAUGUAUAAGAGCUGAGGAAGCCUGAUGAGGCUUCCAGGGCCACCACGUGCUGAUGCUACCAAGGCCACCACCACCACCAGUUCUUCUGCCUGGCAGCUCGAGGAGUUUGUAGGAACCACCCUGAUGAAUACAGAAUGGCCACAACUGGCAAUCACCAUCAUAGAGAAUGCCAACCCUGUCCCCACUGAACCUGUAGCCAUUAAAAACAGAACUUAAAAGGUAACGACAUGAAGAACUUACCAUGGCUCUUCUAUCAGUGUCAGCUAUACAAUGGCAGAAGAUGGAUUUCCCCAUGGGGCUAUGAAGCUGCUUGAGUAGCUUGAGGUGCUGGCAACCAUCCCACUGUUCCCUUGUGUUCCAUGACCAGUUCCCCAGCUCUCUAUUGCUUGCCCGCCAUGGCAACCACUCUGUGAUGCUCACUCGUAUAUCCCAGCAGCAUCUGCCUCAAUGGUCCUUCAGGUUAGUCUCAAGCCAUCGGCAUGCCGGUCCAUAAUGACUUCCAUUGACUUGAGCUCUUCAUAUAACUCCUGUGUCUCUUGAUCAAGGUGGCCAUUUAUUAUCCAGAUAAGACACUUCUGAGAACAAGGGAGGUGUUUUCAUAAUAGCAGUGAGCUAGUCAGGCUAAUAAUCUAGGGUCAUUCCCUACAGAUGGGGACACACAAGCAGUUCUUCCAGGGUCAGCCUUGACUCUGCUAUACCAUGUGACUUUUUAGAAAAAUUAUUGUUUGAAAUUUCGUGCAUGAAUAGUGUGUUUUCAUCAGAUUAUCUCUGUUCCCUCAUCAUGCGCAAAAGUCGUAUGUUCCAGUUCCAG